AGACUCAAUAGGUUUGGGGGUGCAGUGGGUGAGGCCAAAGGAUGUCAACUGUCUAAUGUGAAGACGGAAGGGACAAAGCAUUGGGAACAAGGUUGCUAGCUUUGGUGGCUCAAAUAUUGAUCUGUCUGCCUGGGAGGACAAGAAGAACCCUAGUGAAUCUCGCUUUCCUACUCAGGUUGUCCAACGAUUCCAAGAGUUGUUUGCUCAAACCAAGUAUAAAGAGGCUGCUUGCUGCAGAAUCCCCAC
This is a long non-coding RNA of Capsicum annuum, 246 nucleotides long. RefSeq lists it as uncharacterized. The transcript is spliced from 3 exons. NCBI's taxonomy places the organism in Eukaryota, Viridiplantae, Streptophyta, Magnoliopsida, Solanales, Solanaceae. The record is from RefSeq and is a predicted model, not a curated record.